RNAcentral lists this ribosomal RNA (253 nucleotides) under uncultured bacterium. Its description in RNAcentral is "partial 16S ribosomal RNA". It matches the Rfam family "Bacterial small subunit ribosomal RNA", at positions 524 to 776 of the family's 1533-position model. The record is from RNAcentral.
UACGGAGGGGGCUAGCGUUGUUCGGAAUUACUGGGCGUAAAGCGCACGUAGGCGGCUUUGUAAGUUAGAGGUGAAAGCCCGGGGCUCAACUCUGGAAUUGCCUUUAAGACUGCAUCGCUCGAAUUGUGGAGAGGUAAGUGGAAUUCCGAGUGUAGAGGUGAAAUUCGUAGAUAUUCGGAAGAACACCAGUGGCGAAGGCGACUUACUGGACACAUAUUGACGCUGAGGUGCGAAAGCGUGGGGAGCAAACAGG